RNAcentral lists this ribosomal RNA (448 nucleotides) under uncultured organism. RNAcentral's name for it is "partial 16S ribosomal RNA". It matches the Rfam family "Bacterial small subunit ribosomal RNA", at positions 335 to 800 of the family's 1533-position model. The record is from RNAcentral.
ACUCCUACGGAGGCAGCAGUGGGGAAUAUUGGACAAUGGGCGCAAGCCUGAUCCAGCCAUGCCGCGUGAGUGAUGAAGGCCCUAGGGUUGUAAAGCUCUUUCACCGGUGAAGAUAAUGACGGUAACCGGAGAAGAAGCCCCGGCUAACUUCGUGCCAGCAGCCGCGGUAAUACGAAGGGGGCUAGCGUUGUUCGGAUUUACUGGGCGUAAAGCGCACGUAGGCGGACUAUUAAGUCAGGGGUGAAAUCCCGGGGCUCAACCCCGGAACUGCCUUUGAUACUGGUAGUCUUGAGUUCGAGAGAGGUGAGUGGAAUUCCGAGUGUAGAGGUGAAAUUCGUAGAUAUUCGGAGGAACACCAGUGGCGAAGGCGGCUCACUGGCUCGAUACUGACGCUGAGGUGCGAAAGCGUGGGGAGCAAACAGGAUUAGAUACCCCUGUAGUCCCAUGA